Molecule: ribosomal RNA, 1865 nt
Filed under: Bifidobacterium adolescentis
Lineage: Bacteria; Bacillati; Actinomycetota; Actinomycetes; Bifidobacteriales; Bifidobacteriaceae
Description: partial 23S ribosomal RNA
Rfam family: Bacterial large subunit ribosomal RNA
Source: RNAcentral
UGUGCCGCUUGCGAGGGCGUAUGGUGGAUGCCUUGGCAGACAGUACCGAUGAAGGACGUUUGAGGAUGCGAUAAUCCUAGGGGAGCCUCCAACAUGGCUUUGAUCCUAGGGUCUCCGAAUGGGGGAACCCGCCGGCCGUCAUGGGCCGGCACCGCCUAUGGGCGGGGGGUACGCAGGGAAGUGAAACAUCUCAGUACCUGCAGGAAGGGAUACUCCGUGAGUAGUGGCGAGCGAAAGCGGAUCAGACCAAACCGGUUGCGCGUGAUACCCGUCGGGGGUUGCGUUGCCGGUGUUGUGGGAUCACGUGUCCCGGUUCCGACGGACCGGGCGGGAGUCAUAAAACGGCUUGCCAGGGGAACAGGCUUGAAGGCCUGGCCGUAGAGGGUGCCAGCCCCGUACCUGGACGUGAGCCGUCUUCCGAUCGUGUUGUCCCAAGUAGCGCGGGCCUCGUGGAAUCCCGCGUGAAUCAGCCCAGACCGUUGGGUAAGUCUAAGCAUACCUGUCUGACCGAUAGCGUACCAGUACCGUGAGGGAAAGGUGAAAAGCACCCCGGGAGGGGAGUGAAACAGUUCCUGAAACCGUGCGCCCACAAACCGUCGGAGCCUCCGUGUGGGGUGACGGCGUGCCUAUCGAAAAAUGAGUCUGCGAGUCAGUGGCGGGUGGCGAGCAUAAGCCGUGUGGCGUAUGCGUAGCGAAAGCGAGUCCGAAUAGGGCGUUUUCUAGUCGCUUGUCCUGGACCCGAAGCGGGAUGAUCUAGCCCUGGGCAGGUUGAAGCGCGGGUAAGACCGCGUGGAGGACCGAACCCACCUGGGUUGAAAACCGGGGGGAUGACCUGGGGCUAGGGGUGAAAGGCCAAUCAAAUUCCGUGAUAGCUGGUUCUCUCCGAAAUGCAUUUAGGUGCAGCGUCGGUUGAUUGCGUCGCGGGGGUAGAGCUACCGGAUGCUUGCGGGCCCUUGUUGGGUACCAACAGCAGCCGAACUCCGAAUACCGUUGACGUGUAUUCCGGCAGUGAGUCGGCGGGGGAUAAGCUCCGUCGUCGAGAGGGAGACAGCCCAGACCGUCGUCUAAGGUCCCGAAGCGUGUGCUAAGUGGGAAAGGAUGUGGAGUCGCAUAGACAGCCAGGAGGUUGGCUCAGAAGCAGCCAUCCUUGAAAGAGUGCGUAACAGCUCACUGGUCUAGUGGUUCCGCGCCGACAAUGUAGCGGGGCUCAAGCACACCACCGAAGACGCGGCAGCAAUCUUCAUGGUUGCUGGGUAGGAGAGCGUCCUGCAUGGGGCGAAGCGGCCGGGUAACCGUGCCGUGGACCGUGUGGGAGUGAGAAUGCAGACAUGAGUAGCGAGAGACGGGUGAGGAUCCCGUCCGCUGGAUGACCAAGGGUUCCGGGGCCACGUUCGUCGUCCCCGGGUGAGUCGGGUCCUAAGGCGAGGCCGACAGGCGUAGUCGAAUGGAUGAACGGGUGGAUAUUCCCGUACCGACCAUGGACCGGCAAAACCGAGACGGUGAGUACUAACCUCCGCCUCGUGGUGGUUCCUUCCUUCGGGUUGGUAUCGUCGCGUGGUGUUGGGACUGUAGCCGCAGUAGGUCAGCGCAGGGGUGACACGGAAUGGGAGCCGGCCGCGGAGGUGGUUUUCCGUGGUCAAGCACGCAGCCAGUCAUGUAGGCAAAUCCGCAUGGCGUGCAUGGCGAGGUGUGAUGAUGGGAGCCGUUAUGGUUCGAUAUCCGGUUGUCCAGGCCGUCGAGAAAAGCCUCGGCGUGAGGGCCAUGGCCGCCCGUACCCCAAACCGACACUGGUGGUCAGGUAGAGAAUACCAAGGCGAUCGAGCGAAUCCUGGUCAAGGAACUCGGCAAAUCACUCCCGUGCCUUC